AUCAAGAUGGCCGAGUGGUUAAGGCGCCAGACUUAAGAUUCUAAUUCAAAUAAUAGAUUAAUAGGUAAUCUUGUGAAAUCCGUUACUUGGCAUUCUGGUCUUGAGAAGAAGGCGUGGGUUCGUACCCCACUCUUGACA
RNAcentral lists this transfer RNA (138 nucleotides) under Daphnia pulex (common water flea). It matches the Rfam family "tRNA". Rfam says of the family: Transfer RNA (tRNA) molecules are approximately 80 nucleotides in length. Their secondary structure includes four short double-helical elements and three loops (D, anti-codon, and T loops). Lineage: Eukaryota; Metazoa; Arthropoda; Branchiopoda; Diplostraca; Daphniidae. The record is from Rfam by way of RNAcentral.